RNAcentral lists this ribosomal RNA (499 nucleotides) under uncultured bacterium. RNAcentral's name for it is "bacterial SSU rRNA". It matches the Rfam family "Bacterial small subunit ribosomal RNA", at positions 30 to 524 of the family's 1533-position model. The record is from RNAcentral.
AUUGAACGCUGGCGGAAUGCUUUACACAUGCAAGUCGAACGGCAGCACGGGGCAACCUGGUGGCGAGUGGCGAACGGGUGAGUAAUAUAUCGGAACGUGCCCAAUCGUGGGGGAUAACGUAGCGAAAGUUACGCUAAUACCGCAUACGAUCUACGGAUGAAAGCGGGGGAUCGCAAGACCUCGCGCGAAUGGAGCGGCCGAUAUCAGAUUAGGUAGUUGGUGGGGUAAAGGCUCACCAAGCCAACGAUCUGUAGCUGGUCUGAGAGGACGACCAGCCACACUGGAACUGAGACACGGUCCAGACUCCUACGGGAGGCAGCAGUGGGGAAUUUUGGACAAUGGGCGCAAGCCUGAUCCAGCCAUUCCGCGUGCAGGAUGAAGGCCUUCGGGUUGUAAACUGCUUUUGUACGGACGAAACGGUACUGCCCUAAUACGGCAGGCUAAUGACGGUACCGUAAGAAUAAGCACCGGCUAACUACGUGCCAGCAGCCGCGGUAAA